GUACACUCCUGCGGGAGGCAGCAGUGGGGAAUUUUGGACAAUGGGCGAAAGCCUGAUCCAGCCAUGCCGCGUGCAGGAUGAAGGCCUUCGGGUUGUAAACUGCUUUUGUACGGAACGAAACGGCCUUUUCUAAUAAAGAGGGCUAAUGACGGUACCGUAAGAAUAAGCACCGGCUAACUACGUGCCAGCAGCCGCGGUAAUACGUAGGGUGCAAGCGUUAAUCGGAAUUACUGGGCAUAAAGCGUGCGCAGGCGGUUAUGUAAGACAGUUGUGAAAUCCCCGGGCUCAACCUGGGAACUGCAUCUGUGACUGCAUAGCUAGAGUACGGUAGAGGGGGAUGGAAUUCCGCGUGUAGCAGUGAAAUGCGUAGAUAUGCGGAGGAACACCGAUGGCGAAGGCAAUCCCCUGGACCUGUACUGACGCUCAUGCACGAAAGCGUGGGGAGCAAACAGGAUUAGAAACCCUAGUAGUCCCAUG
This 477-nucleotide ribosomal RNA is filed under the name uncultured organism. RNAcentral's name for it is "partial 16S ribosomal RNA". It matches the Rfam family "Bacterial small subunit ribosomal RNA", at positions 331 to 799 of the family's 1533-position model. The record is from RNAcentral.